RNAcentral lists this ribosomal RNA (253 nucleotides) under uncultured bacterium. Its description in RNAcentral is "partial 16S ribosomal RNA". It matches the Rfam family "Bacterial small subunit ribosomal RNA", at positions 524 to 776 of the family's 1533-position model. The record is from RNAcentral.
UACGUAGGUGGCAAGCGUUGUCCGGAUUUACUGGGCGUAAAGAGCGCGCAGGCGGUCGUACAAGUCGCGUGUGAAAGCCCCCGGCUCAACUGGGGAGGGUCAUUCGAUACUGAUCGACUUGAAGGCAGGAGAGGGAAGCGGAAUUCCCGGUGUAGUGGUGAAAUGCGUAGAUAUCGGGAGGAACACCAGUGGCGAAGGCGGCCUGCUGGGCAGUUGCUGACACUGAGGCGCGACAGCGUGGGGAGCAAACAGG